UGAGUGUGUGUGUGUGAGUGUGUGUCGCUCCAGGUCCACGCUCAUGCACACACCCACA
Bos grunniens (domestic yak) is the source of this 58-nucleotide microRNA precursor. NCBI's taxonomy places the organism in Eukaryota, Metazoa, Chordata, Mammalia, Artiodactyla, Bovidae. The record is from Ensembl.